Molecule: ribosomal RNA, 1000 nt
Filed under: uncultured organism
Description: bacterial SSU rRNA
Rfam family: Bacterial small subunit ribosomal RNA
Source: RNAcentral
UGGGGGAUAUUGCGCAAUGGGGGCAACCCUGACGCAGCAACGCCGCGUGAAGGAUGAAGGUUUUCGGAUUGUAAACUUCUUUUAUUAAGGACGAAACUUGACGGUACUUAAUGAAUAAGCUCCGGCUAACUACGUGCCAGCAGCCGCGGUAAUACGUAGGGAGCAAGCGUUGUCCGGAUUUACUGGGUGUAAAGGGUGCGUAGGCGGCUUUGCAAGUCAGAUGUGAAAUCUAUGGGCUCAACCCAUAAACUGCAUUUGAAACUGUAGAGCUUGAGUGAAGUAGAGGCAGGCGGAAUUCCCCGUGUAGCGGUGAAAUGCGUAGAGAUGGGGAGGAACACCAGUGGCGAAGGCGGCCUGCUGGGCUUUAACUGACGCUGAGGCACGAAAGCGUGGGUAGCAAACAGGAUUAGAUACCCUGGUAGUCCACGCUGUAAACGAUGAUUACUAGGUGUGGGGGGUCUGACCCCUUCCGUGCCGGAGUUAACACAAUAAGUAAUCCACCUGGGGAGUACGGCCGCAAGGUUGAAACUCAAAGGAAUUGACGGGGGCCCGCACAAGCAGUGGAGUAUGUGGUUUAAUUCGAAGCAACGCGAAGAACCUUACCAGGUCUUGACAUCCAACUAACGAAGUAGAGAUACAUUAGGUGCCCUUCGGGGAAAGUUGAGACAGGUGGUGCAUGGUUGUCGUCAGCUCGUGUCGUGAGAUGUUGGGUUAAGUCCCGCAACGAGCGCAACCCUUGCUAUUAGUCGCUACGCAAGAGCACUCUAAUAGGACUGCCGUUGACAAAACGGAGGAAGGUGGGGACGACGUCAAAUCAUCAUGCCCCUUAUGACCUGGGCUACACACGUACUACAAUGGAUGUUAACAGAGGGAAGCAAGACAGCGAUGUGGAGCAAACCCCUAAAAACAUUCUCAGUUCAGAUUGCAGGCUGCAACCCGCCUGCAUGAGGAUGGAAUUGCUAGUAAUCGCGGAUCAGCAUGCCGCGGUGAAUACGUUCCC